Molecule: ribosomal RNA, 2112 nt
Filed under: Paramoeba pemaquidensis
Lineage: Eukaryota; Discosea; Flabellinia; Dactylopodida; Paramoebidae
Description: SSU rRNA
Rfam family: Eukaryotic small subunit ribosomal RNA
Source: RNAcentral
AACCUGGUUGAUCCUGCCAGUAGUCAUAUGCUUGUCUUAAAGAUUAAGCCAUGCAUGUCUAAGUAUAAACACUUUGUACUUGUGAAACUGCGAAUGGCUCAUUAAAUCAGUUAUAAUUUAUUUGAUGGUCCUUUUACUACUUGGAUAACCGUGGUAAAUCUAGAGCUAAUACAUGCACAAAAUCCUGACUGCUCUCGGGUAGGAGGGAUGUAUUUAUUAGAUUCAAAAGCCAAUGCCAUCUUUCGGGGUGGAAAUUUUUUAUAUGGUGAAUCAUGAUAACUUUACGAAUCGUAUGGUCUUGUACCGACGAUAGUUCAUUCAAAUAUCUGCCCUAUCAACUUUCGAUGGUAGUAUAGAGGACUACCAUGGUGGUAACGGGUAACGGAGAAUCAGGGUUUGAUUCCGGAGAAGGAGCCUGAGAAACGGCUACUACUUCCAAGGAAGGCAGCAGGCGCGCAAAUUACCCAAUCCCGACACGGGGAGGUAGUGACAAAAAAUAACAAUACCGGUCUUAUUUAAGUCUGGUAAUUGGAAUGAGUACAAUCUAAAACCUUUAACGAGUAUCAAUUGGAGGGCAAGUCUGGUGCCAGCAGCCGCGGUAAUUCCAGCUCCAAUAGCAUAUAUUAAAGUUGUUGCAGUUAAAAAGCUCGUAGUUGGAUUUUGAUGUUACUUAUUAUGACCCGCCUUGUAUAAGGUGUGUUUGUUGUGAUAAGUACAUCUCCUUACUAGACUUUCAUGRUUGCACUUAAUUGAGUGAUCAUUUCAUCUUGAUUUAUUGGGGUGAGUGAUGAGUAGACCUAUUGGGUUUGAGAUUGUGGAUGAACUUCUUCGGAGGUUGGUUCUGCUUAGAUUCAGUAACUAUUCAUUAGAAAUCUAGUUCAUUUACUUUGAGUAAAUUAGAGUGUUCAAGGCAAGCAAAUUUGUUUCUGCAAUGAAUACUAUUAGCAUGGGAUAAUGGAACAGGACACGUAUUCUAGUUUUCCGUUGGUUUCUAGAAUUUUUAGUCUCUCUUUUCGGAGRGGCGAAGUGUAAUGAUUAAAAGGGACAGUUGGGGGCAUUCGUAUUUCAUUGUCAGAGGUGAAAUUCUUGGAUUUAUGAAAGACGAACUUCUGCGAAAGCAUUUGUCAAAGAUGUUUUCAUUAAUCAAGAACGAAAGUUAGGGGAUCGAAGACGAUCAGAUACCGUCGUAGUCUUAACCAUAAACUAUGCCGACCAGGGAUUGGAAGAUGUAUUAUCCUAUGUUUAACCGUAGGAAAACUCCUUCAGCACCUUACGAGAAAUCAUAAGUCUUUGGGUUCUGGGGGGAGUAUGGUCGCAAGGCUGAAACUUAAAGGAAUUGACGGAAGGGCACCACCAGGAGUGGAGCCUGCGGCUUAAUUUGACUCAACACGGGAAAACUCACCAGGUCCAGACACAGUUAGGAUUGACAGAUUGAGAGCUCUUUCUUGAUUCUGUGGGUGGUGGUGCAUGGCCGUUCUUAGUUGGUGGAGUGAUUUGUCUGGUUAAUUCCGAUAACGAACGAGACCUCAGCCUGCUAAUUAGUGAUGCAAAUGAUUACRUCCGCAAGGAAAGGGUUCUUGUUAAAGCUCUGAGUUUGACUUGGAGAUUUAAURAGAAAACUUGUUUUCAUUUGUUAGAGUUUUGAUCUCYUCGGAGUGAUAGAUUCGAUAAUGACUUCUUAGAGGGACACUUGGUGUUUAACCAAGGGAAGUUUGAGGCAAUAACAGGUCUGUGAUGCCCUUUAGAUGUUCUGGGCUGCACGCGCGCUACACUGAUACGAUCAACGAGUACUGAAGACCUGGUCCGAAAGGAUUGGGUAAACUUUUGAAAUCGUAUCGUGCUGGGGAUCGAUAAUUGUAAUUAUUUAUCGUGAACGAGGAAUUCCUAGUAAGCGCAAGUCAACAGCUUGCGCUGAUUACGUCCCUGCCCUUUGUACACACCGCCCGUCGCUACUACCGAUGUUUGGUCCGGUGAAAUCUUAGGAUUCGCGACUUUCACUUGCUUUACUCUCGGGUAGAGCGAGUUUGUUGUGGAGAAUUUGAGUGAACCUUGCCAAAUAGAGGAAGUAAAAGUCGUAACAAGGUAUUCGUAGGUGAACCUGCAGAAGGAUCA